RNAcentral lists this ribosomal RNA (511 nucleotides) under Bacillus infantis. RNAcentral's name for it is "bacterial SSU rRNA". It matches the Rfam family "Bacterial small subunit ribosomal RNA", at positions 81 to 578 of the family's 1533-position model. The record is from RNAcentral. Lineage: Bacteria; Bacillati; Bacillota; Bacilli; Caryophanales; Bacillaceae.
GCUCCCUGAAGUCAGCGGCGGACGGGUGAGUAACACGUGGGCAACCUGCCUGUAAGACUGGGAUAACUUCGGGAAACCGGAGCUAAUACCGGAUAAUGCACAGCCUCUCAUGAGGCUAUGCUGAAAGAUGGUUUCGGCUAUCACUUACAGAUGGGCCCGCGGCGCAUUAGCUAGUUGGUGAGGUAACGGCUCACCAAGGCAACGAUGCGUAGCCGACCUGAGAGGGUGAUCGGCCACACUGGGACUGAGACACGGCCCAGACUCCUACGGGAGGCAGCAGUAGGGAAUCUUCCGCAAUGGACGAAAGUCUGACGGAGCAACGCCGCGUGAGUGAUGAAGGUUUUCGGAUCGUAAAACUCUGUUGUCAGGGAAGAACAAGUGCCGGAGUAACUGCCGGCACCUUGACGGUACCUGACCAGAAAGCCACGGCUAACUACGUGCCAGCAGCCGCGGUAAUACGUAGGUGGCAAGCGUUGUCCGGAAUUAUUGGGCGUAAAGCGCGCGCAGGCGG